GACGAACGCUGGCGGCGUGCCUAAUACAUGCAAGUCGAACGAAGCUGUUUUAACUGGUGCUUGCACCGACUUAAACAACUGAGUGGCGAACGGGUGAGUAACACGUGGGUAACCUGCCCCAAAGCGGGGGAUAACAUUUGGAAACAGAUGCUAAUACCGCAUAACCACAGAAACCACAUGGUUUCUGUGUCAAAGAUGGUUUCGGCUAUCACUUUGGGAUGGACCCGCGGCGUAUUAGCUAGUUGGUAAGGUAAUGGCUUACCAAGGCAAUGAGCAGUAGCCGAACUGGGAGGUUGAACGGCGACAUUGGGACUGAGACACGGCACAACCUCCUUCGGGGGGCAGCAGUAGGGAAUCUUCCACAAUGGACGAAAGUCUGAUGGAGCAACGCCGCGUGAGUGAAGAAGGUUUUCGGAUCGUAAAACUCUGUUGUCAGAGAAGAACGUGUGCGAGAGUAACUGUUCGUGCAGUGACGGUAUCUGGCCAGAAAGCCACGGCUAACUACGUGCCAGCAGCCGCCGUAA
This 524-nucleotide ribosomal RNA is filed under the name uncultured bacterium. RNAcentral describes it as "partial 16S ribosomal RNA". It matches the Rfam family "Bacterial small subunit ribosomal RNA", at positions 28 to 523 of the family's 1533-position model. The record is from RNAcentral.